UACGUAGGGUGCAAGCGUUAAUCGGAAUUACUGGGCGUAAAGCGUGCGCAGGCGGUUUUGCAAGACAGAUGUGAAAUACCCGGGCUCAACCUGGGAACGGCAUUUGUGACUGCAAGGCUAGAGUGUGUCAGAGGGGGGUAGAAUUCCACGUGUAGCAGUGAAAUGCGUAGAGAUGUGGAGGAAUACCGAUGGCGAAGGCAGCCCCCUGGGAUAACACUGACGCUCAUGCACGAAAGCGUGGGGAGCAAACAGG
Molecule: ribosomal RNA, 253 nt
Filed under: uncultured bacterium
Lineage: Bacteria
Description: partial 16S ribosomal RNA
Rfam family: Bacterial small subunit ribosomal RNA
Source: RNAcentral